AAACCGACCUGGCUCACGCCGGUUUAAACUCAGAUCAUGUAAAAUUUUAAAGGUCGAACAGACCUAACUUACUAGCUCCUUCACCAAUAGUUAACUUUAAUCCAACAUCGAGGUCGCAAUCUUUUUUUUCGAUAAGAACUCUAAAAAAAAUUACGCUGUUAUCCCUGAGGUAAUUUAUUCUUAUAAUCUCAACCAAAGGAUCAUGUACUUAUACAUCAAUAUUASUAUAGWGAAAAGUUAAAUUAAUUUUCCCAUCACCCCAAUAAAAUAAAUAAAAAGAACCAAUAACAAUUCAGAUCCCUUAAUCUAUAAGCAACUAUUUAUUUAUUAAACUCUACAGGGUCUUCUCGUCUUCUAUAAAAAUUUAAGCUUUUUCACUUAAAAAUAAAAUUCUAUUAAAUUUCUUUAGAGACAGCCUUUUUCUCAUCAAACCUUUCAUACAAGCUUCCAAUUAAAAAACUAAUUACUAUGCUACCUUUGCACGGUCAAUAUACCGCGGCCAUUAAAUUAAUCAUCGGGCAGGCCAAACUUGAAAUC
RNAcentral lists this ribosomal RNA (537 nucleotides) under Trigonopterus sp. 578 MB-2015. RNAcentral describes it as "partial 16S ribosomal RNA". Lineage: Eukaryota; Metazoa; Arthropoda; Insecta; Coleoptera; Curculionidae. The record is from RNAcentral.